This 552-nucleotide ribosomal RNA is filed under the name uncultured Rubrobacteria bacterium. Its description in RNAcentral is "bacterial SSU rRNA". It matches the Rfam family "Bacterial small subunit ribosomal RNA", at positions 355 to 897 of the family's 1533-position model. Lineage: Bacteria; Bacillati; Actinomycetota; Rubrobacteria. The record is from RNAcentral.
UGGGGAAUCUUGCGCAAUGCGCGAAAGCGUGACGCAGCAACGCCGCGUGGGGGAAGAAGGCCUUCGGGUUGUAAACCCCUUUCAGGGGGGACGAAGGCACGAUCGGUGAAUAGCCGGUCGUGCUGACGGUACCCCCAGAAGAAGCUCCGGCUAACUACGUGCCAGCAGCCGCGGUAAUACGUAGGGGGCUAGCGUUGUCCGGAAUCAUUGGGCGUAAAGCGCGCGUAGGCGGCCCGGUAAGUCCGCUGUGAAGGUCCAGGGCUCAACCCUGGAAAGCCGGUGGAUACUGCCGGGCUAGAGUCCGGAAGAGGCGAGUGGAAUUCCUGGUGUAGCGGUGGAAUGCGCAGAUAUCAGGAGGAACACCAAUAGCGAAGGCAGCUCGCUGGGACGGUACUGACGCUGAGGUGCGAAAGCGUGGGGAGCGAACAGGAUUAGAUACCCUGGUAGUCCACGCCGUAAACGAUGGGCACUAGGUGUGGGGGGUGUCGACUCCCCCCGUGCCGACGCUAACGCAUUAAGUGCCCCGCCUGGGGAGUACGGCCGCAAGGCUAC